GCUGCCCUACAGAUGCUGGACUUGCUGGCACCAUGGGUGCAGCUGCCCUCAGGAUGUUGGGGCAGAGAUGAAGCAGUUAUUUCUACACUCAGUGCUCAGAAUAGUGGGCACUAAGGAUGGUUUAUAGCCAGACUUCA
This 137-nucleotide small nucleolar RNA is filed under the name Bos mutus (wild yak). RNAcentral describes it as "Small nucleolar RNA SNORA43 (ENSBMUG00000021261.1)". It matches the Rfam family "Small nucleolar RNA SNORA43". Rfam says of the family: ACA43 is a member of the H/ACA class of snoRNA that guide the sites of modification of uridines to pseudouridines. Lineage: Eukaryota; Metazoa; Chordata; Mammalia; Artiodactyla; Bovidae. The record is from RNAcentral.